CAGGUCCCUGCCACGUGUGUGGAUUAACAUGGGACAGGGCCUCUGCUGUGCCCCUGGCCCUCUGGCCUGCCUCCAUCUGGCCUCCUGCAGCUCUCUGCAGAUGGGUACCUGCAAACUCUGAUCUUUGGUGAAGAUAGAACUGUAACAAACUUUAAGAACAGUAAAGCAAUUGAUCCCUGGGCUAAAAUAGGAAAACAGCAUAAUCCCUCAUUUAAAUGAUCAAUGGAAAGGAAUGACUGGGAGAAAACGUUGAUCGCUGCCACAGCCCUAAUCAUCCAAAGUGUUAGUGCAAUUCAGAGACGGAAGGAGGGGGAGAGAUUUACAACAUGAGGAGCUCCCAAGGAAGGAGGGGGAAAGUCAUUAGCAGAAGGCUGUUCUUUGUACAGACUCUCCAUUUGGGAAGGAAGGAAGACAUUCCAGUAAAGGAUCUGUGUGUGGGUGCAGCAUGGCCCAUCAGUG
Molecule: long non-coding RNA, 459 nt
Filed under: Numida meleagris (helmeted guineafowl)
Lineage: Eukaryota; Metazoa; Chordata; Aves; Galliformes; Numididae
Description: lncRNA (ENSNMEG00000007658.1)
Source: RNAcentral